GAUGAACGCUAGCGGCAGGCCUAAUACAUGCAAGUCGAACGGUGUCUUCGGACAUAGUGGCGCACGGGUGCGUAACACGUAUGCAACCUACCUUACAUUGGGGGAUAGCCUUUCGAAAGGGAGAUUAAUACCGCAUAAGACAGUAGCUGGGCAUCCAGCAGCUGUUAAAGAUUUAUCAAUGUAAGCUGGGCAUGCGUCCAAUUAGCUAGUUGGUGAGGUAACGGCUCACCAAGGCAAUGAUUGGUAGGGGAACUGAGAGGUCAAUCCCCCACACUGGCACUGAGAUACGGGCCAGACUCCUAUGGGAGGCAGCAGUAGGGAAUAUUGGGCAAUGGACGCAAGUCUGACCCAGCCAUGCCGCGUGCAGGAUGAAGGCGUUAUGCGUUGUAAACUGCUUUUAUACAGGAAGAAACGACUCUUGCGAGAGGCAUUGACGGUACUGUAUGAAUAAGCACCGGCUAACUCCGUGCCAGCCGCCGCCGUAA
RNAcentral lists this ribosomal RNA (485 nucleotides) under uncultured bacterium. RNAcentral describes it as "partial 16S ribosomal RNA". It matches the Rfam family "Bacterial small subunit ribosomal RNA", at positions 28 to 523 of the family's 1533-position model. The record is from RNAcentral.